GACGAACGCUGGCGGCGUGCCUAACACAUGCAAGUCUAGGGAGAAAGGGGUAGCAAUAUCCCGAGUACACCGGCGCAAGGGUGAGUAACACGUAGGCAACCUGCCUUCAGGACGGGAAUAACCCCGAGAAAUCGAGACUAAUACCCGAUAAUGUUCCGCUGCAGCAUUGCAGUGGCAUUAAAUGUCGCAAGACGCCUGAAGAUGGGCCUGCGUCCCAUUAGANAGUUGGCGGGGUAAUGGCCCACCAAGUCGACGAUGGGUAGCUGGUCUGAGAGGACGACCAGCCACACUGGAACUGAGACACGGUCCAGACUCCUACGGGAGGCAGCAGUGAGGAAUAUUGCGCAAUGCCCGAAAGGGUGACGCAGCGACGCCGCGUGGAGGAUGAAGGCCCUAUGGGUCGUAAACUCCUUUGUGGGGAAGAAUGUUUCGCUAUAGGCGAACGUGACGGUA
This 453-nucleotide ribosomal RNA is filed under the name uncultured bacterium. Its description in RNAcentral is "bacterial SSU rRNA". It matches the Rfam family "Bacterial small subunit ribosomal RNA", at positions 28 to 477 of the family's 1533-position model. The record is from RNAcentral.